Molecule: long non-coding RNA, 488 nt
Organism: Thamnophis elegans (Western terrestrial garter snake)
Lineage: Eukaryota; Metazoa; Chordata; Lepidosauria; Squamata; Natricidae
Exons: 2
Source: RefSeq, a predicted model, not a curated record
CAAAGGUGGGAAGAGGUAGUUCCUAUUCUGGUUGAUCUAGGAGAGGAUGAUGGCGUUGGGCAAGUCUUGUGCUGCUUAGAGGGUCGAAGCGGCUUCAGGGAGACAAAGAGAAUGCCAAGAAGAGCACUGUGGACAAGAGAAUGAGAAACUGCUUUAAAAUGUAAAACAAGCCAUCAAUCAAAAUCUUCCACUUCCUCCAGAGAGUGUAAAAACUUUUCUCUUUCUUCAGCUGAUGAGAGACAAGAGAGAAUUAUAAGAGCAAAGCUUUCAGCUGGAAAAAAAUAAGAGUGUCUAGAAGUCAAGGAAACAUUACAUGAGAAGUCAAGGAGGAUAAUUUAUCAGUAAAGAACACCUGGAAGCCAGUGGGAAGAAAAAGAUUUGGGGGGUAGCCAAAACUGGAAGGCAUUAAUUAAAGCCUUUGAGAAAACAAAGAGUAGCUUGAAUCAAAGAACCAUCAGCUAAGAGAUCAGAAAUAUUGUUGGCCUCCU